ACAGUACUAAAGGUGAGUGCAUACGAAAAUAAAAAAAACAACUUAAAAAAAGCUUUAAAAAAAAGAAGAAGAAGAAAAAAAAGAACAAUAAUACACAGGAGCACUCAUCAGCAGGAAGACUCAGUUGAUAAAUUGAGGAGUCCAAACCAAUUGACCAAAUAACAACAAUGUUUAAGAAAUUUCAGCAGUGAUACUUUGGAGUGAUCAUAGUGAAAAGAAUGAUUGCAAUAAUCUGAACCAUUAGCCUACUUAUCUAUAUAGUAUCCCACCAUAGCCCUAGCCCCAUUACAACCGUAAAAGACCUCAAAAAGUG
This 313-nucleotide long non-coding RNA is filed under the name Lathyrus oleraceus (garden pea). RNAcentral's name for it is "Pisum sativum (pea) long non-coding RNA (PSAT_LNC037369)". Lineage: Eukaryota; Viridiplantae; Streptophyta; Magnoliopsida; Fabales; Fabaceae. The record is from RNAcentral.